CCUACGGGGGGCUGCAGUGAGGAAUAUUGGUCAAUGGACGAGAGUCUGAACCAGCCAAGUAGCGUGAAGGAUGACUGCCCUAUGGGUUGUAAACUUCUUUUAUAUAGGAAUAAAAUGAUGCACGUGUGCCUUUUUGUAUGUACUUUAUGAAUAAGGAUCGGCUAACUCCGUGCCAGCAGCCGCGGUAAUACGGAGGAUCCGAGCGUUAUCCGGAUUUAUUGGGUUUAAAGGGAGCGUAGAUGGGUUGUUAAGUCAGUUGUGAAAGUUUGCGGCUCAACCGUAAAAUUGCAGUUGAUACUGGCAGUCUUGAGUACAGUUGAGGUGGGCGGAAUUCGUGGUGUAGCGGUGAAAUGCUUAGAUAUCACGAAGAACCCCGAUUGCGAAGGCAGCUUACUAGACUGUAACUGACAUUGAGGCUCGAAAGUGUGGGUAUCAAACAGGAUUAGAUACCCGAGUAGUC
Molecule: ribosomal RNA, 460 nt
Filed under: uncultured bacterium
Lineage: Bacteria
Description: partial 16S ribosomal RNA
Rfam family: Bacterial small subunit ribosomal RNA
Source: RNAcentral